RNAcentral lists this ribosomal RNA (493 nucleotides) under uncultured bacterium. RNAcentral's name for it is "bacterial SSU rRNA". It matches the Rfam family "Bacterial small subunit ribosomal RNA", at positions 29 to 518 of the family's 1533-position model. The record is from RNAcentral.
AUGAACGCUAGCGACAGGCCUAACACAUGCAAGUCAGGGGCAGCACAAGGAGCAAUCUGAGGUGGCGACCGGCGCACGGGUGAGUAACACGUAUGCAACCUGCCUGUAAGCGGGGAAUAACCCGUUGAAAGACGGACUAAUACCGCAUAAUACUAAAUUACUGCAUGGUAAUUUAUUUAAACAUUUAUGGCUUACAGAUGGGCAUGCGCAUGAUUAGCUAGUUGGAGAGGUAACGGCUCCCCAAGGCAACGAUCAUUAGGGGUUCUGAGAGGAAGGUCCCCACACUGGUACUGAGACACGGACCAGACUCCUACGGGAGGCAGCAGUGAGGAAUAUUGGUCAAUGGACGAGAGUCUGAACCAGCCAAGUCGCGUGCAGGAAGAAUGUCCUAAUGGAUUGUAAACUGCUUCUGCAGGGGAAUAAAGUGCAUCACGUGUGAUGUUUUGUAUGUACUCUGCGAAUAAGGAUCGGCUAACUCCGUGCCAGCCGCCGC